This 205-nucleotide ribosomal RNA is filed under the name uncultured bacterium. RNAcentral describes it as "partial 16S ribosomal RNA". It matches the Rfam family "Bacterial small subunit ribosomal RNA", at positions 569 to 772 of the family's 1533-position model. The record is from RNAcentral.
ACGUAGGCGGCUGGGUAAGUCUGUCUGUGAAAGCCCAGGGCUCAACCUUGGAAUUGCCUUUGAUACUGGCUAUCUUGAGUAUGGAAGAGGUAUGUGGAACUCCGAGUGUAGAGGUGAAAUUCGUAGAUAUUCGGAAGAACACCAGUGGCGAAGGCGACAUACUGGUCCAUUACUGACGCUGAGGCUCGAAAGCGUGGGGAGCAAA